UGCAAGUCGAACGCUGAAGCACCAGCUUGCUGGUGUGGAUGAGUGGCGAACGGGUGAGUAAUACGUGAGUAACCUGCCCUUGACUCUGGGAUAAGCCCGGGAAACUGGGUCUAAUACUGGAUGCUACAUGUCACCGCAUGGUGGUGUGUGGAAAGGGUUUACUGGUCUUGGAUGGGCUCACGGCCUAUCAGCUUGUUGGUGAGGUAAUGGCUCACCAAGGCGACGACGGGUAGCCGGCCUGAGAGGGUGACCGGCCACACUGGGACUGAGACACGGCCCAGACUCCUACGGGAGGCAGCAGUGGGGAAUAUUGCACAAUGGGCGAAAGCCUGAUGCAGCGACGCCGCGUGAGGGAUGACGGCCUUCGGGUUGUAAACCUCUUUCAGCAGGGAAGAAGCCACAAGUGACGGUACCUGCAGAAGAAGCGCCGGCUAACUACGUGCCAGCAGCCGCGGUAAUACGUAGGGCGCAAGCGUUGUCCGGAAUUAUUGGGCGUAAAGAGCUCGUAGGCGGUUUGUCGCGUCUGCUGUGAAAGCCCGGGGCUUAACCCCGGGUGUGCAGUGGGU
RNAcentral lists this ribosomal RNA (566 nucleotides) under Kocuria palustris. RNAcentral describes it as "bacterial SSU rRNA". It matches the Rfam family "Bacterial small subunit ribosomal RNA", at positions 56 to 631 of the family's 1533-position model. The record is from RNAcentral. Lineage: Bacteria; Bacillati; Actinomycetota; Actinomycetes; Micrococcales; Micrococcaceae.